UCGGGACCGGGUGAGUAAUGGCAUAGGAAACUGCCCAGUAGUGGGGGAUAGCCCGGGGAAACCCGGAUUAAUACCGCGUACGCCCUUCGGGGGAAAGCAGGGGAUCUUCGGACCUUGCGCUAUUGGAUGUGCCUAUGUCGGAUUAGCUAGUUGGUGGGGUAAAGGCCUACCAAGGCGACGAUCCGUAGCUGGUCUGAGAGGAUGAUCAGCCACAUCGGGACUGAGACACGGCCCGAACUCCUACGGGAGGCAGCAGUGGGGAAUAUUGGACAAUGGGGGCAACCCUGAUCCAGCCAUGCCGCGUGUGUGAAGAAGGCUUUCGGGUUGUAAAGCACUUUCAGUGAGGAGGAAAACUCUGCGACUAAUACUCGUAGGGCUUGACGUUACUCACAGAAGAAGCACCGGCUAACUCCGUGCCAGCAGCCGCGGUAAUACGGAGGGUGCAAGCGUUAAUCGGAAUUACUGGGCGUAAAGCGCGCGUAGGUGGUUUGAUAAGCGAGAUGUGAAAGCCCCGGGCUUAACCUGGGAACGGCAUUUCGAACUGUCAGGCUAGAGUAUGGUAGAGGGUAGUGGAAUUUCCUGUGUAGCGGUGAAAUGCGUAGAUAUA
RNAcentral lists this ribosomal RNA (607 nucleotides) under Marinobacter flavimaris. RNAcentral describes it as "bacterial SSU rRNA". It matches the Rfam family "Bacterial small subunit ribosomal RNA", at positions 96 to 698 of the family's 1533-position model. Lineage: Bacteria; Pseudomonadati; Pseudomonadota; Gammaproteobacteria; Pseudomonadales; Marinobacteraceae. The record is from RNAcentral.